Molecule: ribosomal RNA, 160 nt
Filed under: uncultured bacterium
Lineage: Bacteria
Description: partial 16S ribosomal RNA
Rfam family: Bacterial small subunit ribosomal RNA
Source: RNAcentral
UGGGGAAUAUUGGACAAUGGGGGCAACCCUGAUCCAGCAAUGCCGCGUGUGUGAAGAAGGCCUUAGGGUUGUAAAGCACUUUAGGCUGGGAGGAAGAUAUGUAGUUUAAGAGAUGACAUAUUUGACUGUACCGGCAGAAUAAGCACCGGCUAACUCUGUG